UACGUAGGGGGCAAGCGUUGUCCGGAUUUAUUGGGCGUAAGGCGCGUGUAGGCGGCCAUACAGGUCCGUUGUGAAAACUCGAGGCUUAACCUCGAGACGUCGAUGGAAACCGUAUGGCUAGAGUCCGGAAGAGGAGAGUGGAAUUCCUGGUGUAGCGGUGAAAUGCGCAGAUAUCAGGAAGAACACCCGUGGCGAAGGCGGCUCUCUGGGACGGUACUGACGCUGAGACGCGAAAGCGUGGGGAGCGAACAGG
This 253-nucleotide ribosomal RNA is filed under the name uncultured bacterium. Its description in RNAcentral is "partial 16S ribosomal RNA". It matches the Rfam family "Bacterial small subunit ribosomal RNA", at positions 524 to 776 of the family's 1533-position model. The record is from RNAcentral.